This is a long non-coding RNA of Hypanus sabinus (Atlantic stingray), 1662 nucleotides long. RefSeq lists it as uncharacterized. The record is from RefSeq and is a predicted model, not a curated record. Lineage: Eukaryota; Metazoa; Chordata; Chondrichthyes; Myliobatiformes; Dasyatidae. The transcript has 4 exons.
GUGGAAUUUGAUAUUCAAAGCACAAAAUGUUAGAGGAACUCAGUGUGUCAGGCAACAUGUAUGGAGGGAAAUGGAAAAUCAAUCCCAGGAAACUGCUGUCCCAUCUGUGGAAUGGUCUGCAGUUCCUCAUAAGAGCCGCAUCAAUCACCUUAAAACCUUGAACCCAAUGUGAAAGGAAGCCAUCCUCAAUCUCAAGGGACUGCUGAAGAAGAAGUGGACAUCUGAAUCAGCCGAGGUUCACUGAGGGUUAUUGAAUGUUUUAACUCAAAAGAGCCAGAAGCAUCUUGAAGAAGGACAUGAACUUUCCAUUAUGGAAGACUAGAACAAAAUCAGCAUGGUAGUGAAGAGGAUCUACUUUACAGUGCAAGGAUCCAAGUUCAAUUCCUGCCGCUGUCUGUAUAGACUUCAUACAUUCUCCGGCAUCUCAUGAUUCUUGUCCCACAUUCCAAAGACAUACAGUUUUGUCAAGGCAGAUGUUGAGCAUGAUAGAAGUCCACGAAAAUGAGAGCAGAGAGCAGGCAGGUGUUCAGCUCAUCUCCCUGUGCUUCACCGGUCUUCCUCACCUUCUCACGAUCUGCUUUUGAGGAAAGUGAUGAAGUCUUGUGUUCCAUGUUGCAAGGAUUGAAUGGUGAGGCUUGUGAUUUUGGACUUAUUUGGACUCAUCAAAUAAUAUUUGAUGCCACAGUGGUAGAAAAUUCAAAUUUGAUUGCUUAUGAUAAAUGUGUGUGUGAUUAUAAAACACAAUUUCUACUGGACACUAAGUUCCUCUGACUUCAAAGGACCAUAGAGUGUGAUUAUGCAUUGGUGGCAAUCUACAGUAUGUAGUGCUGGCCAAUAUUUGGAUAGUGGUUAGAAGAAAUGACUCAGAAUGAACCCCGCCCAAAUCUUUUGUAGUUUAGCCCACAUAAUGGAACAUGAAAGAAUAUAUAACAUAAAUGCAUUAGUGGAGUUGUACUUCUUAUUUCUAUAUAGUGCACUUUUCCUUUAACGCUUUUUUUGGAAACUCAGACAGCGUGAAUAUUGUAAUGGAUCAGAUCUUGUGAAAUAAACCGAGAUGAAAUGUAGAAAGAUUUAGUCAUAUUACUUCCAUUAGCAACUGCAGAAAAAAUUAUUGAGACAAAGAGUACUGCCUAGAACAAGAUAUGAACAGAUCAUAAUCUCUCAAUGUAUGCUGACUCGCACAUUGCUGGCACUGUACUUUUCUCAAACUUUUUUCCAGCAUCUGCAGACUUUCUUGUGUUUCUGAUUUGCUGCUCCACUCCAAAAUCUCUUUGAGGGAUGCCUACCCUCAAGAUGUUUAAGUCUUCUCUUCAACAGAAUUUCAGAGAGACCCUCUCUCACUACACCCCUCCACCCCACCUCGUGAUCUCUACUGUCCUCUGACUCUUUGAUCAUGUACUCACCCAGACUCCCUACCACAGUCAUGUAUCCUUCCUGGGAAAUUGUCACCUCUUCCUGGAUCCCCUCUUCCUUCCCUCUCCUAUCAGAUACCUUCCUCUCCAGCCCUUUACCUUCCUCCCCGCCACCUUCUUUCAAGAUUUUCAAGGUAUUCAGGAUUGCACCAGUGUACAUCUGAGACUCCCUGUGGAGCUGCAAGAAGCUGAGAUAGAUAGAUACUUUAUUGAUCCCAAAGGAAAUUACAGUGUCACAGUAGCAUUGCAA